GAAUUGACGGGACCGCACAAGCGGUGGAUGAUGUGGUUUAAUUCGAUGCAACGCGAAAACCUUACCCACCUUUGACAUGUACGGAAGCUUAGAGAUAGAGGCGUGCUCGAAAGAGAGCCGUAACACAGGUGCUGCAUGGCUGUCGUCAGCUCGUGUCGUGAGAUGUUGGGGUUAAGUCCCGCAACGAGCGCAACCCUUGUCAUUAGUUGCUACAUUCAGUUGGGCACUCUAAUGAGACUGCCGGUGACAAGCCGGAGGAAGGUGGGGAUGACGUCAAGUCCUCAUGGCCCUUAUAGGUGGGGCUACACACGUCAUACAAUGGCUGGUACAAAGGGUUGCCAACCCGCGAGGGGGAGCUAAUCCCAUAAAGCCAGUCGUAGUCCGGAUCGUAGUCUGCAACUCGACUACGUGAAGUCGGAAUCGCUAGUAAUCGUGGAUCAGAAUGUCACGGUGAAUACGUUCCCGGGUCUU
Molecule: ribosomal RNA, 471 nt
Filed under: uncultured Rhodoferax sp.
Lineage: Bacteria; Pseudomonadati; Pseudomonadota; Betaproteobacteria; Burkholderiales; Comamonadaceae
Description: bacterial SSU rRNA
Rfam family: Bacterial small subunit ribosomal RNA
Source: RNAcentral